This 829-nucleotide long non-coding RNA is filed under the name Eucalyptus grandis. Its description in RNAcentral is "long non-coding RNA (EGRA_LNC006540)". Lineage: Eukaryota; Viridiplantae; Streptophyta; Magnoliopsida; Myrtales; Myrtaceae. The record is from RNAcentral.
UCAACAUUACCACCAAACUUGGAAUUGGUUGUGCCUGCUGAGCCGUAAUUCAGCAUUACCGCCAAAGUUUUAGUAGGCCGUACUCACUGAGCCAUAAUUCAGUGUUAGGAUUGAGUAUUCGAGAUGACUGUGUUGGUCGUGCUCGCUGAGCCGUAAUUCAGCAGUGAAUUUGAGUAAAUGAGAUGAGCCGACCAAGAAAGGGUCAAGAUGAUAUGUAAUCAACUAGGUCGAUUGAUCAUUACUUUGAUAUGAUAUCGUGAAUUGAUUGAUUGAAUUGAAAUGACCGAUGAAUGGUUCGAUUGACAUGAAAUCGACUACGUCGAUUAAUCGAGAUAACGAUCUGUGAUGUGAUUACUUGGGUGCCUAUUGAACUGUGCUAAUAUGCAAGUGGAAUCUGAGGCCAAGGUAAGUCAUCUGACCAGUGCAUACAUAGGCAGCCUAGUUAGCAUAUUGUUUUACUAAUCAAAUCUUAGGGGGAAGAACUCGCUAAGAUGUGGUCUCAAUGGUUAUUAUAUAACAAUUUUGAGACCCUGAUGAGGAGCCUGAGAAGGAGGAACCUGAGGAGGAGAACUCUGAUGUGAAACUUGAGGAGGAGGAAAAUUUAGAAGAAGAAGAUAAUCCAGAGGAAGCUCCUGAGUACGAUCCGGAUGAGGACUGAGAUCCCAUCCUGUUUUGUCAGACCUUGAUUAUAUGUGGAUAAGUGUUAGAUCAGACCCCUGUGAAUAGUAUUGCAUUAUAUACUAUGAGGUGCUUGUAUAAAAGUGUGGUUAUGAAUUUCAGUAUGAAAAUUAUAACUCUGCUUUUCUAUCACAUUGAUUUAUUGUCUAAG